RNAcentral lists this small nucleolar RNA (85 nucleotides) under Tursiops truncatus (common bottlenose dolphin). Its description in RNAcentral is "Small nucleolar RNA SNORA31 (ENSTTRG00000025083.1)". Lineage: Eukaryota; Metazoa; Chordata; Mammalia; Artiodactyla; Delphinidae. The record is from RNAcentral.
CUUCUUCCACUACAGAUGCAAGAAAAAAGUGUCCUUGUGUUUUCUCUCUGAUUGUGGUGGCCAGAUUGAAUGGAGGAAUACAGCA